UGAAAUGCGAAAAGUAAUGCGAUUUGCAUGAAUCUGUGAGUCAUCAAGUCUUUGAACGCACCUUGCACCAUAUGAGCAAUCGUAUGGUAUACCUGUUUGAGAAUCGUAAAAACCCCCUCCUACCAGUUGGUAGGGAAUUGUCGGCUGACCGUUUUGCGGUCUCCGGCCAAAUGUAGUAGGUUUGACCAGGCUAGUGGCCUUGGACAUUGUGUGCUAGAGACGUCGCUUCGGCUACUGUCUUCUCACGAUGCGUCCCUGGCUAUUCAAGCUAGACUGGUUCGGGCCUCCACAGUACCGCCCUAACGGGCAGUACAACCCCAAUUUUUGAUCUCAAAUCAGGUAAGGCUACCCGCUGAACUUAA
This 362-nucleotide unclassified non-coding RNA is filed under the name uncultured fungus. Its description in RNAcentral is "sequence contains ITS1". The stretch from base 1 to 106 matches the Rfam family "5.8S ribosomal RNA", at positions 49 to 154 of the family's 154-position model. Lineage: Eukaryota; Fungi. The record is from RNAcentral.